This 548-nucleotide ribosomal RNA is filed under the name uncultured Acaulospora. RNAcentral describes it as "SSU rRNA". It matches the Rfam family "Eukaryotic small subunit ribosomal RNA", at positions 548 to 1098 of the family's 1831-position model. The record is from RNAcentral. Lineage: Eukaryota; Fungi; Glomeromycota; Glomeromycetes; Diversisporales; Acaulosporaceae.
UUGGAGGGCAAGUCUGGUGCCAGCAGCCGCGGUAAUUCCAGCUCCAAUAGCGUAUAUUAAAGUUGUUGCAGUUAAAAAGCUCGUAGUUGAAUUUCGGGGUUCAUACGUUGGUCGGGCUUUUUGGUCUGUACUGGCGUAAUGGAUUCCUACCUUCUGAAUAACCGGCAUGCCAUUAAUUUGGUGCGCCGGGGAAGCAGGACUGUUACCUUGAAGAAAUUAGAGUGCUUAAAGCAGGCUAUCGCCUGAAUACAUUAGCAUGGAAUAAUGAAAUAGGACGGCAUGGUUCUAUUUUGUUGGUUUCUAGGAUCACCGUAAUGAUUAAUAGGGAUAGUUGGGGGCAUUAGUAUUCAAUUGUCAGAGGUGAAAUUCUUGGAUUUAUUGAAGACUAACUUCUGCGAAAGCAUUUGCCAAGGAUGUUUUCAUUAAUCAAGAACGAAAGUUAGGGGAUCGAAGACGAUCAGAUACCGUCGUAGUCUUAACCAUAAACUAUGCCGACUAGGGAUCGGACAGGGUUAUUUUCAUGACCGGUUCGGCGCCUUACGGGAAAC